UACUCCUACGGGAGGCAGCAGUGGGGAAUAUUGCACAAUGGGCGGAAGCCUGAUGCAGCGACGCCGCGUGGGGGAUGACGGCCUUCGGGUUGUAAACCUCUUUCGCUAGGGACGAAGCUUUUGUGACGGUACCUAGAUAAGAAGCACCGGCUAACUACGUGCCAGCAGCCGCGGUA
RNAcentral lists this ribosomal RNA (176 nucleotides) under uncultured bacterium. RNAcentral's name for it is "partial 16S ribosomal RNA". It matches the Rfam family "Bacterial small subunit ribosomal RNA", at positions 334 to 522 of the family's 1533-position model. The record is from RNAcentral.